UGACAGUUCAAUGAAUCAAAGACCCUUCUUUUAAUUUUUCUGUUCAGGUUACCAUCCCCCCAAGUAUGGGAUAGUAACCUGAGGCUUAGCUCCCCAUGGUCACAAAGUGCCUGUCAUUGUGCCAAACAGCACAUUCUCAUAGAGCAUGCCCCUUUGUUGACACAUGCUUUUGUACCUUUGUGCUACAGAGGACAGAGACCCUGUUAGCCCACGAGGCCAAAAGCAUUUAGUAUCCUGUCCUUUACGGAAGAGCCUGCUGAACUAUCUUAAGCCAAAUUCCCCUCCACCAUUUCUACCUGGCUUAGCUCUGAAUAUUUUAAUUAGAAAUUAUUAAAUUUUUCAAAAAAAUCAAUUUUAAUUUUUGAAAAAUUUCCCUCAUGUCUAAGGUCCAUGACUAUGUCCGUCCAAACUUCCCAUCAUAAAUCUUGUUACAAGACUAUAUUCGUGGAUUAUUUCCCAUGUGCUAAGUGUAUUGAUUCAUUUCACAUCUGCAGCCACCUUAGGCAGGAGGGAGUGUUAUUAUCCCCAUUUUACAGGUAGAAAACGAAGGCCCAGCAAGGUGAAGGGGCAAAGCUAACAAACAGCACAACCAGGUCUUGCACCAGAAGACGUGACCUCAGUACCUGUGUUCUCACCACUGCCUCGUCCUGCCUGCCCAAUGGCGCUGUUCUUCCCCAAAGCAUCUAGGCUUCUGUGUGGUCACCUUCUUGGAGAUUAAAUGGCCAGCACAGGAAGUCAACAGCUUACCCUUCCUGGAGACACCUAACAGUAGACGUCUUCCUGUUGCUGACUCCGCCGCUACACUAGGCCUGCAGGCUGAUGGGCCAUCUCCAUAAAGAAACCCUCCUGCAUGUUUUGUGACCAGGCAGCUGGUUAUUCUAACCUGGAGCCACUCCCUCCCUCCCACCUGCUUCCACGGGUUGGGAAGAGAAGAUUCCUUACAGGGGGACAAGCUCCAAACAGGUGCGGGUGGGCUGUCUAGUGAGGACUUCACAUCAGUGUCCCCCACCUGGGUGGGCUUUCUCUUCCAAGGCACAGCCUCAUACCUAGACCCCCUUCAGAGUUAACUGUGGACAAUCAAGGGAAUGCAGGGGAGAGACUCCGGCACUCCAACCGCACGCCCAAGGUUACAAAGAAGAACGGUCGAUUUGGUUCACGAAGGACAAUAAAUCUGAUUUAUAUACAGCUUUGCAGGAGCUCACUAAUUACACAAAGCAAGAGAGACAUGAAAAAAACACCUUGUCUUGUUCUCAUAGGACUUUGGUAAGGCAGGACUGAGAGGUAAGAGGGAAUAAUAGUUGGGUCAGCCAACACUUCCUGGAUAAUUGCUUUUUCCAAGUACUGCACUAAAAGCUUUGGGGAUCUAUCUCAUUUAACCCACACUGCUGUUCCACUCUAAGACUCCAUGAUUAUUAAAGAUCAGAAAAUUGAAUUUUUGACAGAUUGCACCAGGGCCACCGCAUGCCAUCCUCCCUCUCUCAUUUAGGCAGUUGACCCAGCAACUCCUGCAGCCCGGACCUGUUCUCCCAGGCUCCCCCCACCCCAUGCACAAGGUCAUCCUCCACACUUGUUGAGAAAGAGCAAAUGCAUUCUUACCCUGUCCUACCUGCCGUUUAUUUCUUCUAUGCUCUUCCAUGAAUUUACAGUAGUCCCCCCUCUUUACCCUGGGUUUCACUUCCUGAGGUCUCAGUUACCCAAAGUCAACCAGUCUGAAAAUACUAAAUGGAAAAUUCCAGAUAAAAAAACCAGUUCAUGAUUUUUAAAUUGAGCACCAUUCAGAGUAGCACAAUGAGAUCUCACACAGCCCCACUUCUUCCCUCCUGAGACAUAAAUCAUCCCUUUGUCCAGUGUGUCCACACUGUAUGUCCUACCCUCAUAUAAUAAGUCACGUAGUAGCCAUCUUUUUAUGAGAUCAACUGUCCUAGUGUUAUGCUACUUAAGUGCAAGUAGUCUUGAUUUUAAUUCAUAAUGGUCCCAAAGUGCAAGAACAGUGAAGCUGGCAAUUUUAAGCCAGUAUGUUGGUAUAAUCGCUCUAAUUUAUUAUUAGUUAUUGUUGUUGACCUUUUAGGGCCUACUAUAUAAAUUAAACUUCAGCAUAGCUAUUUAUGUAUAAAAAAUAGUAUAAAUAUAGGUUUUGAUAGUACCAGGUUUCAGGCAUCCUCUGGAUUCUUGGAAUAUAACCUUGGAUAAGAGGGGACAACCUGAUAUCAAAUGCUAAUGAUUCGUCUGACCUAAUUCUCGG
RNAcentral lists this long non-coding RNA (2242 nucleotides) under Marmota monax (woodchuck). Lineage: Eukaryota; Metazoa; Chordata; Mammalia; Rodentia; Sciuridae. The record is from RNAcentral.